Elaeis guineensis (African oil palm) is the source of this 1609-nucleotide RNA transcript. It is a transcript of the gene named pectin acetylesterase 5, with no coding region annotated. NCBI's taxonomy places the organism in Eukaryota, Viridiplantae, Streptophyta, Magnoliopsida, Arecales, Arecaceae. The record is from RefSeq and is a predicted model, not a curated record.
GGAUUCCCUCAUCUCAUUAAUGGGAAGAGAUCCUGCCGAUAGGAUCUGAUGCGUGAGCAGUCCCCUCUGUGUCAUCGGAAAGUCAAACCUCAGGGGUCUAAUGAUGGUGUUCGUGAGGAGGAUCCAGCAAUUUCGCGCCUGGCUGCGGCGAGGGGGCACCGAACGCGCGAUCGCCGCUUCCGGAUUAGCCGUUCUCUUGCUCGCCGUCUUUCUCACGGUGGGCUUGUGGAAGCGGGAGCGUCCCCUUUUCGGCCGGCGCGGAGGAGCUAUCGUCGAUCUCAUUCUCCUCGAGAACGCGGAGGAGAAGGGCGCACUGUGUUUAGAUGGAAGCCCUCCAGGGUACCAUCUCCAGAAGGGUUUUGGUUCUGGCUCAGAUAGCUGGCUUCUGCACUUGGAGGGUGGAGGUUGGUGCAAUAGUGUGGAAUCAUGCACUAAACGCACAAUGACACGAUAUGGCUCAUCUCGCUACAUGGAAUCUGAGGCCUUCGUUGGCAUUUUAAGCAAUAUCCAAUCAGAAAAUCCUGAUUUCUAUAAUUGGAACAAAGUAAAGGUACGUUAUUGUGAUGGUGCAUCUUUUGCGGGGAAGGGAAAAGAGAAGUCCAGGUAUGGGAAAUAGAAUGGAAAGAAGCUAUAUUUCAGAGGACAGCGUAUUUGGAAAGCAAUUAUGGAAGAUCUGUUACUCAAAGGCCUUGAAAAUGCUAGACAGGCCUUUCUUACCGGAUGCUCUGCUGGUGGUCUAGCAACUUUCAUACAUUGUGAUGAUUUUCGUGCACUUCUACCUGAGGAGGUCACUGUUAAGUGUCUGGCAGAUGCGGGGUUUUUUAUUGAUGAGGAGGAUAUUUCUGGGAACAGGACGAUAAGAUCUUUCUAUAAUGAUGUUGUUCGCCUCCAGAAUGUAGGAAAAAAUUUGCCAAAGGAGUGCAUCUCUAGGAUGGAAGCAUCCCAGUGUUUCUUUCCAGAGGAGAUAGUUAAGAACAUAAACACCCCACUUUUCAUUCUUAACUCAGCUUAUGACAGUUGGCAGGUACAACAUAUUUUGGCACCUGAAGAAUCUGAUCCUCAACAACUAUGGCUAAAAUGCAAGAUGGAUAUUCAUGAUUGUGAUUCCAGACAGCUUGAAGUCCUCCAAGGAUUCAGGAAUGCGUUACUUAAAGACUUGAAAGAAUUUCAGCAAAACAGUAACGGAGGCAUGCUUAUAAAUUCGUGCUUCAUACACUGUUACUCAAUGACCAGUAACACAUGGCACUCCCUAGACUCCCCGAAAGUUAACAAUAAGACAAUUGCAGAGGCUAUUGGAGACUGGUAUUUUAGAAGAAGGGAAGUUAAAGAUAUUGAUUGCCCAUAUCCAUGCAAUCCCACAUGUGUGGAACCUAAUUAGCAGUUCAUUGGAUAAGACCGAAGCAUGUUGGAGCAUUGUUUUCUAAAAUGCCUUGUACCAGCUCUUUGGGUGCUUAUUUGAUUUGUUCGAUGUGCCAUUGUAAUGGAAGAUCAAUACUACAUCAAAUUGAUUUUUUCUGUUGUUUGUUGUUUGUGAUAUUUAAUGUUAUUUUGGAGCUGUGAAAACUGUAUAAACUGGCAUGAUAUUUGAUGAUUGCUCAAGAAUUUUGUU